This 792-nucleotide ribosomal RNA is filed under the name uncultured bacterium. RNAcentral describes it as "bacterial SSU rRNA". It matches the Rfam family "Bacterial small subunit ribosomal RNA", at positions 62 to 849 of the family's 1533-position model. The record is from RNAcentral.
UCGAACGAAGCACUCUUUUAGAUUUCCUUCGGGGAAGAAGAAAUUGUGACUGAGUGGCGGACGGGUGAGUAACGCGUGGGCAACCUGCCCCAUACAGGGGGAUAACAGCCGGAAACGGCUGCUAAAACCGCAUAAGCGCACAAGGGCCGCAUGGCCUGGUGUGAAAAACUCCGGUGGUAUGGGAUGGGCCCGCGUCUGAUUAGCUAGUUGGCGGGGGAGAGGCCCACCAAGGCGACGAUCAGUAGCCGACCUGAGAGGGUGGCCGGCCACAUUGGGUCUGAGACACGGCCCAAACUCCUACGGGAGGCAGCAGUGGGGAAUAUUGCACAAUGGGGGAAACCCUGAUGCAGCGACGCCGCGUGAGCGAAGAAGUAUUUCGGUAUGUAAAGCUCUAUCAGCAGGGAAGAAAAAUGACGGUACCUGAGUAAGAAGCACCGGCUAAAUACGUGCCAGCAGCCGCGGUAAUACGUAUGGUGCAAGCGUUAUCCGGAUUUACUGGGUGUAAAGGGAGCGCAGGCGGUGCGGCAAGUCUGAUGUGAAAGCCCGGGGCUCAACCCCGGGACUGCAUUGGAAACUACCGAACUAGAGUGUCGGAGAGGUAAGUGGAAUUCCUAGUGUAGCGGUGAAAUGCGUAGAUAUUAGGAGGAACACCAGUGGCGAAGGCGGCUUACUGGACGAUAACUGACGUUGAGGCUCGAAAGCGUGGGGAGCAAACAGGAUUAGAUACCCUGGUAGUCCACGCCGUAAACGAUGAUCACCAGGUGUCGGUGGGUAUGGACCCAUCGGUGCCGC